UUACAGUUGCGUUAGGGAUAAAAACGGCAUCCUUUUUUGCUAUCGCCAUAAAGCAAAUGGCAAAAAAAGAUAUAGUGGAUAGCCCGACCCCAC
RNAcentral lists this small RNA (93 nucleotides) under Pedobacter psychrophilus. Its description in RNAcentral is "Pedobacter sp. CCM 8644 Flavo-1 RNA". It matches the Rfam family "Flavo-1 RNA". Lineage: Bacteria; Pseudomonadati; Bacteroidota; Sphingobacteriia; Sphingobacteriales; Sphingobacteriaceae. The record is from Rfam by way of RNAcentral.